Molecule: long non-coding RNA, 860 nt
Filed under: Cyanistes caeruleus (blue tit)
Lineage: Eukaryota; Metazoa; Chordata; Aves; Passeriformes; Paridae
Description: lncRNA (ENSCCEG00000012806.1)
Source: RNAcentral
AGCACUUCCCAGAGAUGCCUGUGCUGCUGAUCUGGAAAACCACACUGAGUUAAGACUCAUUAAAAAUCUCUCUUGGCAAUAUCAGAUCUUGCAUUGAAUAGGAGGUCAUGAUCCCAUCAUGUCAACAAAAUCCAUUUCUGAGUAUUCCAAUGUCCAAGGAGGUUGAGAUCCAGGCUGAACCAGCCUCAAGGCCUCGCAGAGUGUGUCUGUGCCCCAUUCCUGAGCCAAGUGGCAGUGCCAGGCAAAUUAGCUCUGUAAAUUUGGUCAGAAUUGUGCUCCCCUGUGCACAGCUGUGGUGAAUUUCUCCUUUUGUACUUCCUCAGAGGCAAGGAAAGAUCCACAAAUGCCCCACUCCCAUUUUAACCAGUGGUCUCCCCAGAACAGGGGAUUGUCUCCCUGAGGUCUUGUCUUGCUCCUUCCUUCCUGCAACCUUCCCUCUCCACUGUCCCACUGAGAGCUGGUCACCUUCUCAUCCCAUGGGAAUCAGUGAUCCUUGGGUGUUUUCCUUUGGCUUUCAUUCUGAAGAAUCUGAAGCUCAAACUGAAGAAAUGUGGUGCUGGACUGUUGUUUUGGGGCCCAAGUGUUCGAGGUGCAAUGCAGAUCCAGCAAAGUCACAAAAGGCCACACCAAAGAAGCUGAGAAGAUGCAAACUUUGUCACUGGUGCACAUGGGAACCUUGCCACCUAGCAUGGGAGUCAGACAGCUGCGGCUGGAGCCGUAGGAUAUUAAAGGACUUGUGUGAAAAUGGAGGCUGCCACCACAGGGCAGGGCCAGAUCACCAUGCUGAGAGAGAAGGAGGUGGCAGCCUGCACCAGCCGAGGCAAGCAGAGGUCAUUGGCCCUGGCCAUCACUACUUCAGG